UGAUAUUGCUCGGUAGACCGGCGGUCCG
RNAcentral lists this non-coding RNA (28 nucleotides) under Bombyx mori (domestic silkworm). The record is from RNAcentral. Lineage: Eukaryota; Metazoa; Arthropoda; Insecta; Lepidoptera; Bombycidae.